This 253-nucleotide unclassified non-coding RNA is filed under the name uncultured Parcubacteria group bacterium. RNAcentral describes it as "contains 16S-23S intergenic spacer region". It matches the Rfam family "Bacterial small subunit ribosomal RNA", at positions 524 to 776 of the family's 1533-position model. The record is from RNAcentral.
UACGAGAGCCCCAAGCGUUAUCCGGAUUUAUUGGGCGUAAAGCGUGUCCAGGUGGUUUAGUUAGUCUCUCGUUAAAGCUCCGGGCUUAACCCGGAAGGUGCGAGGGAAACGGCUAAACUAGAGAAUGUGAGAGGUGUACGGAACUCUAUGUGUAGGGGUGAAAUCCGUUGAUAUAUAGGGGAACACCAAAGGCGAAGGCAGUACACUGGCACAUUUCUGACACUCACACACGAAAGCGUGGGUAGCGAACGGG